Molecule: long non-coding RNA, 918 nt
Organism: Cyprinus carpio carpio
Lineage: Eukaryota; Metazoa; Chordata; Actinopteri; Cypriniformes; Cyprinidae
Source: Ensembl
AUGAAUAACUCUACAGUGAACUACACCACGACUGAAGCAUUUACAAACCCCACAACUCAUUUCACUGGGAUACUGGACAGUCUGAACAUUUGUGUCUACAUAAUCAGUUUGCUAUUUGGUCUUCCCACACACUCCUAUGUGACAUGGCUCAUCAUCACAGGAACAGGACGUGGAGUUGCAUCAAAGUUCUUCAUCCUCAAUCUUUCUGUUUGUGAGAUUGGUAUCUCUCUAUAUUGUUUUGUAUAUGCAAUAUCAUAUUGGUCUUUAAGUGUCUCAACCAUUAAACUAUUUUUUGUAGGACUUACCAUCACUGGUCGUCCUCUGUUUCAGUGUCUGAUAUGUGUUGAGCGUUACCUGGCAGUGCUUCAUCCUGUAACCUUUCUGAAGUACAAACCUCUCCGAUAUAGAGUGUUCUGCUGCACUGUGGCUUGGAUAAUUUGUCUUGGCUCAUGUGUGUUCUGCAUGUAUAUUUUAGGUGAAGAUGACAUGCAUUUAUAUACAUGGUUCUUCUCACUGCAGUUUCUCUUCUACCUCUCCAUCCAGUUGUUUUGUCUUGUGGCUGUUCUCAGAGCUUUGAAGCAGUCAGGACCAGGAGAGAGAGGGGGAGAGAGAAACGAGGAAAACCACAUGAAGAGAAGAGCCUUUCAUCUCAUUCUUAUAACUAAUAUAUUUAUUCAACAGCUGUGAAUUCAGUCUACUAAACAGCAGAGAGAUGCAUGUACAUCCAGAGACUGGACAUUCACUCUUCAGGUGAUAAACUCUUAGUUCAGUGUCUUGUUUUUACAAUUCAAAAGAAGAAACAUUGUCACUAUGUUGAUUUGGGUUUUUAGAAAAAGUUAAUUGAGUAAAUAGAAAGUUGAGCUCUUUUUAUUUUUAUUGAAAAGAAGAAUAGAAACUGAGAAAUUACUUUAAAUGUUA